CGAUGAACCUUUCGACAUAACCCGAUAAAUCCUCCCGGCAUAACCCGAUGAAUCUUUCGGCAUAACCCGAUAAAUCUUCUCGGCAUAACCCGAUAAAUCUUCCCGGCAUGUUACGAUGAAUUUUCCGGCAUGAUCCGAUGAAUCCUCCCGGCAUAACCUGAUGAACCUUUCCGCAUAACCCGAUAAAUCCUCCCAGCAUAACCCGAUGAACUUCCGGCAUAACCCGAUAAAUCUUCUCGGCAUAACCCGAUAAAUCUUCCCGGCAUGUUACGAUGAAUUUUCCGGCAUGAUCCGAUGAAUCCUCCCGGCAUAACCCGAUGAAUCUUUCGGCAUAACCCGAUAAAUCUUCUCGGCAUAACCCGAUAAAUCUUCCCGGCAUGUUACGAUGAAUUUUCCGGCAUGACGGCAUAACCCGAUGAAUCUUUCGGAAUAACCCGAUAAAUCUUCUCGGCAUAACCCGAUAAAUCUUCCCGGCAUGUUACGAUGAAUUUUCCGGCAUGAUCCGAUGAAUCCUCCCUGCAUAACCCGAUGAAUCUUUCGGAAUAAUCCGAUAAACCCUCCGGCAUAACC
This 570-nucleotide long non-coding RNA is filed under the name Nicotiana tabacum (common tobacco). RNAcentral's name for it is "long non-coding RNA (NTAB_LNC018242)". Lineage: Eukaryota; Viridiplantae; Streptophyta; Magnoliopsida; Solanales; Solanaceae. The record is from RNAcentral.